GUGAACCUGCGGAAGGAUCAUUACUGUGAAUACAUUCUACACUGCGUGAGCGCACACAACACAUAAACGGGAGUACCAGGUGGUCAAAGAAAUCUAAUAGAAAACUUUCAACAACGGAUCUCUUGGUUCUCGCAUCGAUGAAGAGCGCAGCGAAAUGCGAUACCUAGUGUGAAUUGCAGCCAUCGUGAAUCAUCGAGUUCUUGAACGCACAUUGCGCCCGUCGGCAUUCCGGCGGGCAUGCCUGUCUGAGCGUCGUUUCCUUCUUGCGCAAGCAGAGAUGACCGAGCCCCGGCCCGGUUGAAACGGAACGUUGCGGGUGUGAGCGAACUAUGUUGGGACGCUCGUGCCGCCGAGACUUUUACAAGCUCGACCUCAGAUCAGGUAGGAAUACCCGCUGAACUUAAGCAUAUCAAUAA
RNAcentral lists this unclassified non-coding RNA (416 nucleotides) under Pichia thaimueangensis. Its description in RNAcentral is "[Candida] thaimueangensis sequence contains ITS1, 5.8S rRNA gene and ITS2". The stretch from base 103 to 255 matches the Rfam family "5.8S ribosomal RNA". Lineage: Eukaryota; Fungi; Ascomycota; Pichiomycetes; Pichiales; Pichiaceae. The record is from RNAcentral.